Molecule: ribosomal RNA, 465 nt
Filed under: bacterium LD2010
Lineage: Bacteria
Also listed under: 4 other names
Description: bacterial SSU rRNA
Rfam family: Bacterial small subunit ribosomal RNA
Source: RNAcentral
GAUGAACGCUGGCGGCGUGCCUAACACAUGCAAGUCGAACGGAGAUUUAACGCUGAUGAAGCUUCGGCAGAUUCUUGUUAAAUCUUAGUGGCGGACGGGUGAGUAACGCGUGGGCAACCUGCCUCAUACUGGGGGAUAACAGCUGGAAACGACUGUUAAUACCGCAUAAGCGCACAGCAUCGCAUGAUGCAGUGUGAAAAACUCCGGUGGUAUGAGAUGGGCCCGCGUCAGAUUAGCCAGUUGGCAGGGUAACGGCCUACCAAAGCGACGAUCUGUAGCCGGCCUGAGAGGGCGGACGGCCACAUUGGGACUGAGACACGGCCCAAACUCCUACGGGAGGCAGCAGUGGGGGAUAUUGCACAAUGGAGGAAACUCUGAUGCAGCGACGCCGCGUGAGUGAAGAAGUAUUUCGGUAUGUAAAGCUCUAUCAGCAGGGAAGAAAGACUCGUAAGAGAGAUGACGUAC